Molecule: ribosomal RNA, 1385 nt
Filed under: Alexandrium minutum
Lineage: Eukaryota; Dinophyceae; Gonyaulacales; Pyrocystaceae
Description: LSU rRNA
Rfam family: Eukaryotic large subunit ribosomal RNA
Source: RNAcentral
AUUCCUUAAGUAAUUGCGAAUGAACAAGGAAAUGCUCAGCUUGAAAAAUGGGGCCUUUGGCUUUGAAUUGUAAUUUUGAAAUGUAUUGCCAAUGGAGGCGCAGGUGCAAGCCUAUUGAAAGAAAGCGUCAAUGAGGGUGAGAUUCCUUUUUGUCAUUUGCAGUCCUCCGUGCACGGUAUAUAUUUGACGAGUCACACUCCUCGGCAUUGGAAUGCAAAGUGGGUGGUAAAWUCCAUGUAAAGGUAAAUAUAUUAUUGAGACUGAUAGCAAACAAGUACCAUGAGGGAAAUAUGAAAAGGACUUUGAAAAGAGAAUUAAAAGAGUCUGCAUUUGCUGAACAGAAAGCAAACAGAAUUGAUUUUACUUGGCGAGAUUGUUGUGCUUACUCUAUCAUUUAUAUGGUUGAUGUGGGUGCGAUGGUUCUUACCUUGAAUGUCAGCUUCUAUUUCUGCAAAUCAUUACCCUUGCACAUGAAUGGUAAUUUGCCUGCGGGUAUUGGAAUGCAUGUGUUUGCAAUGAUUUGUGAUUUGACGCAUGUGUUUGGUGAAAUUUGUAUAUGCUCUUUUGUCGAAGGGGAAAGCUUACUUUUUUGAGCAUUGCAAGCCCUUACACAUCAGUGCUGGCAAAAUGUUUCUGCUUGACCCGUCUUGAAACACGGACCAAGGAGUCUAACAGAUGUGCAAGUUCGUGGGUGGCAAACCUUUUUGCGCAAUGAAAGUAUUGGCUGGGAUACUUGCACCAGCAGCCGACCAAUUAGCAGACAGAGGUUUGAGUUUGAGCAUAUCUAUUAGGACCCGAAAGAUGGUGAACUAUGCCUGAACAGAAUGAAUUCAGAGGAAACUCUGAUGGAGGUUCGUAUCGAUACUGACGUGCAAAUCGUUCGUCAUACUUGGGUAUAGGGGCGAAAGACUAAUCGAMCCAUCUAGUAGCUGGUUCCCUCCGAAGUUUCCCUCAGGAUAGCUGGAGUUGCACAGUUUUAUCAGGUAAAGCGAAUGAUUAGAGGAAUUGGGGUCACGCUGUCCUUGACCUAUUCUCAAACUUUAAAUGGGUAAGAUGCAAUGGUUGCUUUAUUGAACUUUUGGAAUAAAUGGCAAUAUCAGGUGGGCCAUUUUUGGUAAGCAGAACUGGCGAUGAGGGAUGAACCUAACGUUGGGUUAAGGUGCUUAAUUGCUUGCUCAUUAGAUACCAGAAAGGGUGUUGGUUCAUUUUAACAGCAGGACGGUGGUCAUGGAAGUCGAAAUCCGCUAAGGAGUGUGUAACAACUCACCUGCCGAAUGGACUAGCCCCGAAAAUGGAUGGCGCUCAAGCGGGUGACCGAUACCCAACCACUGUUGCAAAUAGUGUCAGUGUGUAGGAGGGCAUGGCGGUUUGUGAUGCAGCCUUUG